Molecule: non-coding RNA, 502 nt
Organism: Equus quagga
Lineage: Eukaryota; Metazoa; Chordata; Mammalia; Perissodactyla; Equidae
Source: the annotation of a RefSeq genome assembly
AUGAGACUCUUGGGUCUUCUCCUUUGCGUGAUGAUGGCUCCCCAAGGAGUCCUGUCCCAGGUGAAGCUGCAGAGUUGGGGCCCAGAACUUGUGAAGCCCUCGCAGACAAUCUCCCUCACUUGUGCUGUCUAUGGAUCCUCCUUCACAAGCAGUGAUUAUGGUUGGAGCUGGACUCGCCAGCCCCUAAGGAAGGGGCUGGAGUGGAUGGGACUUGUAAGCUAUAGUGGUAGCACUUACUACAGCCCAUCCCUCAAGAGCCGCAUCUCCAUCUCCAGAGACACGUCCAAGAACCAGUUCUCCCUGCAGCUGAGCUCCGUGACCACCGAGGACACGGCCGUGUAUUACUGUGCAAGAGUGAAAGUUAGUUAUUAUGAUGCACACAUGUUGUGGAUGGAGAACCAGGCCCCCUAUGUGGAUGCAGCUCUCAUUUUCCCCCAUGAAACAUGGAGGAAGACAAGCAAAAAAUUAAAACCCAUCCCAGCCGUGAUGGGACGUGUUCUGG